UGACGGUUGUGACCAAAAGGACAGGAGAUUUGUGGACUUGUGUUGAACUCGUCACAGCCUGAUCCCACAAAUACAAAUUUAAAAUAAACUUAUUGUAUGAGCUUACUCUUUAGGUUGUAGGUUGACCAAGACGCUUCGUAUGUUUGAUCCAUCGAAGCUGUCAAGAACCGGGGGGUUUGUUGAGAGGCUCGCCAUUGAUGACCUUAAUAUGACCGACUACAGCUGAAACAUAAAUGGAAAAGAUUAGGACUGUGACUAUCAUUUUUAACCCUUUCUAAAAUAGUAAUCAAUUUCUGGAGUAAUAAUAGGAUAUAAGUUAGUAUAUAUAUAUAUAUCACAGAGAUCUCCUCUUAGUCUAUAGUUCUUUUCGAAAUCUUCAAAACAAUGGAAGCCAAAUGUAACAACCCGGUUCACGUAAACCGGUAUUAAAAUUGGUUUGAUUAUUUAAUUGGAGUAAACCAAAUAAUACCAAAACCAAAGCGAUAUAUAAGCUGUAUGCAUCUUCUUCGUCAUGUUAACCUAGCCGUCUUCAUUUAGGGCUUGUGGGGAGUACGUUUGUGCCGUCACCACAAAACGACCUCUAGUGCGCUGAUAUGAGAGAAGCUUCAUCACACCGACAAUGGAGCAUCAUUAACGGAGCGGUGAGGCAUGCCGAAGCUGUCAAAUAUCCAACGCCUCUCCCUUAUGGUCACCUUGCAUCGGAUCCGAGAAGCUUUGAUGUGGAGAAGCAACGCACAUACACGGAGCCACUGCGUAACGACACGUCCGGUGCUGAUCACCACCGCCCAACACCAUAGAGCCACCGCCGGGAUGUCACUUUAUUUGCUUGUCACACCGGAGAUCCACCGUCACUGUCUAAGAUGUCACCAACUGGUAUUGUAGUGAUUGAAGCUAAGGCGAGCUGCCACAUAUCUUCACCAUGUUCACUUGCAACAUUGGACCCAUGGCUAAGGAGUGGUUUUGUGGGAGGAUCCUAGAUCGAUCCAGAGAACUUUAGCCUUCGAAACAUGGCUCUUUGGAUAGAUCUCGUUUCCAGGAAUCUGUAGCAGCAAACGGAAUCGAGAUCGGAAUUGUAUAGCAAAAGUUAUGGACAUUGCUUCUUGGCCAAGGAUAAGUUUAAGCUAUAGCGAUGCAGAUACAGUUCCGACCAGUCUCAGAGUAAAGGCGAAACGGUCGACCUAAACGAAAGCUUUCAAUCUGGAAAUUUGUAAGUAAGUAGUUUAUUCUUUUAUCUACCAUCUCCAACAAGCGGAUCGUAAUUUCGAGUUAGUUUCUGAGAAUUAUGCAUGUUUUCGUGAGAGGUGUUGGUGCAGUCUGCGUUCGUGACUAGCCUAGGUGUGAAGCCAUUUUGGUUAAUCAAAUGGUGUCCGAUCGGAGUAAACUCAGUGGCUACGGACAGAGGACAUCUAGGAAUACAUUCCGACCGGACGGAUUGAAAAGUUAGCGGUCCGUUAUCGUGAUAUUCACCUGUUUUAUCUAUGGUUCAGUUCUGGCAGAAUUAUUAUAUUCAUUUAUUUUCAGAGAUUCCGAAGUUGCUGGUUUAGAGCCGUCAAGGUCUAUAUAUGUUUUCUCAGGUUUCUUCAGAAUCCGUGGCAAAGGGCUUGUGGGGAGUACGUUUGUGCCGUCACCACAAAACGACCUCUAGUGCGCUGAUAUGAGAGAAGCUUCAUCACACCGACAAUGGAGCAUCAUUAACGGAGCGGUGAGGCAUGCCGAAGCUGUCAAAUAUCCAACGCCUCUCCCUUAUGGUCACCUUGCAUCGGAUCCGAGAAGCUUUGAUGUGGAGAAGCAACGCACAUACACGGAGCCACUGCGUAACGACACGUCCGGUGCUGAUCACCACCGCCCAACACCAUAGAGCCACCGCCGGGAUGUCACUUUAUUUGCUUGUCACACCGGAGAUCCACCGUCACUGUCUAAGAUGUCACCAACUGGUAUUGUAGUGAUUGAAGCUAAGGCGAGCUGCCACAUAUCUUCACCAUGUUCACUUGCAACAUUGGACCCAUGGCUAAGGAGUGGUUUUGUGGGAGGAUCCUAGAUCGAUCCAGAGAACUUUAGCCUUCGAAACAUGGCUCUUUGGAUAGAUCUCGUUUCCAGGAAUCUGUAGCAGCAAACGGAAUCGAGAUCGGAGUUGUAUAGCAAAAGUUAUGGACAUUGCUUCUUGGCCAAGGAUAAGUUUAAGCUAUAGCGAUGCAGAUACAGUUCCGACCAGUCUCAGAGUAAAGGCGAAACGGUCGACCUAAACGAAAGCUUUCAAUCUGGAAAUUUGUAAGUAAGUAGUUUAUUCUUUUAUCUACCAUCUCCAACAAGCGGAUCGUAAUUUCGAGUUAGUUUCUGAGAAUUAUGCAUGUUUUUGUGAGAGGUGUUGGUGCAGUCUGCGUUCGUGACUAGCCUAGGUGUGAAGCCAUUUUGGUUAAUCAAAUGGUGUCCGAUCGGAGUAAACUCAGUGGCUACGGACAGAGGACAUCUAGGACUACAUUCCGACCGGACGGAUUGAAAAGUUAGCGGUCCGUUAUCGUGAUAUUCACCUGUUUUAUCUAUGGUUCAGUUCUGGCAGAAUUAUUAUAUUCAUUUAUUUUCAGAGAUUCCGAAGUUGCUGGUUUAGAGCCGUCAAGGUCUAUAUAUGUUUUCUCAGGUUUCUUCAGAAUCCGUGGCAAAGAAAAUCGGGGUAUUACACCAAACCUCUGUGAGUCAAUGGCGAGGCUGUUAUCUUCAAGCUCGGAGAGGACCGACUUGUGAGUGACGCAAAUGGUGAAACUGUGGUCAGCCAAACGAAAAAUCUCUUUGUUCUUUAUCUUACACGGACCUGUUAGGAAAAACGAAUUUCUGUGUGACCGUUGCUGGAACAAAUCAGUCAGUGUAAUCCAAAUCUGCUAAUAUGCGAAGAAAUACUGUUCUCAUUAUUUGUAUACGGGGCUGUUAUAUUUCACCGAUACCAUGUGAAAUUAACAUGUAAAAAUAAUGCAUAAGUAACAAAACGGAUUCAAAAAUGAAUACCUAAGAUGUUCAGUUAAGAUUUUGACAACAGUUUGACAAUUAUGAUUUAGAUUGAAACGAAGAUGAUAAUGAGUUUUGUGAGAAAAAUUACCUUAGCAUCGAUGAGAAACAUAUUUACCCAUCAGCUCUCCGCCACGUUUAAAGUUUUGAGCUUCCAAAAUCUGAGCAGUGGCACCUCGACGGUGGAAAAACAGCGGCUUGCAAAUCAGGGAGAUGAUCGGAUGAGUUAGUGAUAAAACUGAAAAAUAAGUAUUUCUUUGGAAUUGAGAGGAUGAUGUUCAUGAGAUGAGGACGAACCUUUAUAUAGGUGAAUAAACACCUGGGAGAGAAUUAGAAGCAAUGAAUGAUUAAUUGUGCUUGUUGUCAGUCAAAGGAAUAAAGAUGGUUCUUGAUGACGAUGAAUGGAUGAAUUCAUAACGUUGUGAUGGAAAAGAAUGUAAGGCGAACAGACGUGAAUGAAGAUCGAUAUAGUCGUUCCUCAGGCAGUUUUUUCUCACACAACUGCAAGAAACUCCAUUAAUGACGAUAGUUUUUAAUGGUGAUGGAUCCGUCUCGAGAAGAACCAUAGAUGACUUUUACCAAAAAAAAAAAAGAACCAUAACGAAGAUAGUCGAUGAAGACGAAUAGACGAUUAAACUUUAGGUAUGGUUGCAGAGAAAAAGCUGUUGAAAUUUCUAUAUGGGCUUGGCCUAUUGACUGAAACAAAGCAAAAUAAUAAACGAAGUCUACAUAAUAAAGCCGAUGAUAACAAAACCCAACAAACUGAAGAUUAAAUGAAACGCUGAGUUUUAUUAUUUUGGGACACGUGUCGAAAGUAAAGGAGUCGAUUUUCUGACCUGUCUGCUGAGGUGGCAGCUCCACAGGAAAGAAAACCCAAUUAUAUAUAAAUAGAUAGAUACAUUUGCACGGCCGCGCAUAUCAAAAUCUAGUAUCAUAAUUAUUUUUGAAGCCAUACCAAGUUGUGUUUCAUGUCACUAUUUUCUUUUUAAAAUCAAUCAAUAACGUUUAAUCAUUGUUAAUAUGUUAUGUGGUAAUGAUAUAUGAAGAUUUAGUUAUGUUUAGGAAUUUUAAUUUGGAUACCCACAAAAAUGUAAAGAAAAAGUUUGUUUUUGAAAAGCUCAUCAAAUUUGGAUUCGUGAGAGACUGUAAAUAAUGUGUUUAUUUAAAGCUUAGUAUAUUUACACAUACACUUAAAAGGAUUUAUAGAGUCCACAUGAGUCUGUAAUCUAGUCGACAAAAAAAAACACUUAAGGGGUGGCAAAAAAACUCAAACUGAACCGAACUGACCUGACCCGACCAAGGUUAAACCGAUCCAAUCCAAACCGUGCUCUUUAUAUAAUCCAAUUAGUUCAUGUUUUACUCAACCCGAAUGGUUUGGUUUGGUUUGGUUUAAAUCGAAUUAAACCGAACCGAACCCAACUAAACCAAUAACCCAAUAUAUUCGUAAAUGUUAGUUAAAGUUUUGUUUUUACUUUUUCUUAAGUUCCAUAUAUUUUAAAAAAAAUAAUACUAUUAUAUAUUUUCUAAACCUAAUAUCUAAAGAUUAUGCCCAAAACAAAACCUAAAAACUAUAAGCAUCUAAAUCGUAACCAUUUCAUCCCGUUCUUUUCCAAUAUUCAUUGUCUAAAGGUAAAAUUAUGUACAAAGUUCUUGUUUGGUAUUUUUAGUUUUUGGAUACGUUGUUUUUUUUUUAACUUUUAGUAAUGGAUUUUUUUAUCUAAUAAAGAUUAAAUUCUCACUCUAUUUUUUAUAGUUCGCAAAUCUAAACUACACAGGACCAAACUAAACUAUAAUAAAAUAAACCGAACUAAAUCAAAAUCAAACCGAACUAAACAAAACCAAACCAAACAAGACCAGACCCAACUAAACAAACCCCAAUUAAACCCAAACCAAAGCUACUUUGGUUUUAAUUGGAUUUAGUUUUAUAAAACCCAAGUUAAUCAAACCAAACCAAACCAAACCAAACCAAACCAGAAACUAAACCGAUAUACCCACCCCUACAUACACCAUGUCUUUCAGAA
This is a long non-coding RNA of Raphanus sativus (radish), 5018 nucleotides long. RefSeq lists it as uncharacterized. The transcript has 3 exons. NCBI's taxonomy places the organism in Eukaryota, Viridiplantae, Streptophyta, Magnoliopsida, Brassicales, Brassicaceae. The record is from RefSeq and is a predicted model, not a curated record.